GAUGAACGCUGGCGGCGUGCCUAAUACAUGCAAGUCGAGCGAACAGACGAGGAGCUUGCUCCUCUGACGUUAGCGGCGGACGGGUGAGUAACACGUGGAUAACCUAUCUAUAAGACUGGGAUAACUUCGGGAAACCGGAGCUAAUACCGGAUAAUAUGUUGAAUCGCAUGGUUCAACAGUGAAAGACGGUCUUGCUGUCACUUAUAGAUGGAUCCGCGCCGCAUUAGCUAGUUGGUAAGGUAACGGCUUACCAAGGCAACGAUGCGUAGCCGACCUGAGAGGGUGAUCGGCCACACUGGAACUGAGACACGGUCCAGACUCCUACGGGAGGCAGCAGUAGGGAAUCUUCCGCAAUGGGCGAAAGCCUGACGGAGCAACGCCGCGUGAGUGAAGAAGGUCUUCGGAUCGUAAAACUCUGUUAUUAGGGAAGAACAAAUGUGUAAGUAACUAUGCACGUCUUGACGGUACCUAAUCAGAAAGCCACGGCUAACUACGUG
Molecule: ribosomal RNA, 497 nt
Filed under: uncultured bacterium
Lineage: Bacteria
Description: partial 16S ribosomal RNA
Rfam family: Bacterial small subunit ribosomal RNA
Source: RNAcentral